This 301-nucleotide ribosomal RNA is filed under the name uncultured bacterium. RNAcentral's name for it is "partial 16S ribosomal RNA". It matches the Rfam family "Bacterial small subunit ribosomal RNA", at positions 509 to 807 of the family's 1533-position model. The record is from RNAcentral.
CAGUCGCCACGGGAAUACGGAGGGGGCUAGCGUUGUUCGGAAUUACUGGGCGUAAAGCGCACGUAGGCGGCUUGGUAAGUUAGAGGUGAAAGCCUGGAGCUCAACUCCAGAAUUGCCUUUAAGACUGCCGAGCUAGCAGGUGAGAGAGGUAAGUGGAAUUCCGAGUGUAGAGGUGAAAUUCGUAGAUAUUCGGAAGAACACCAGUGGCGAAGGCGGCUUACUGGCUCAUACUGGACGCUGAGGUGCGAAAGCGUGGGGAGCAAACAGGAUUAGAUACCCCCGUAGUCCCUGUAUCUUAUAC